AAGGGAGACCUAAUUCAGGUAUGGGACGAAAAAAAAGUAGUCGCUACCAAGAAUCAAUCCCAAAAGGUCGGAGCGAGGCGAAAUUGGCUUUCAAACUAGGUUCUGGGUUCACACAAGACCUGAAUCAGGAACAAGGGCUAUUAGCUCAGGUGGUUAGAGCGCACCCCUGAUAAGGGUGAGGUCCCUGGUUCGAGUCCAGGAUGGCCCACCUGCACAGGUGGCAAAAACAAAGAAAAAAAGCUCCGAAUCAGCACCUUAUCUUACUUAUAUAGUAAGAGAGAAUGCUGGCUCUGAGUUCAGAGUUCAGAGGAACCUUGAAAACUGCAUAGAGCUAGGUGAAAAAGCCAAAAAAGAAGACCGCAA
RNAcentral lists this transfer RNA (363 nucleotides) under uncultured Microcystis sp. Its description in RNAcentral is "partial miscellaneous RNA". The stretch from base 135 to 208 matches the Rfam family "tRNA". Lineage: Bacteria; Bacillati; Cyanobacteriota; Cyanophyceae; Chroococcales; Microcystaceae. The record is from RNAcentral.